UGGGGAAUAUUGCACAAUGGGCGCAAGCCUGAUGCAGCCAUGCCGCGUGUGUGAAGAAGGCCUUCGGGUUGUAAAGCACUUUCAGCGAGGAGGAAGGUGGUGAACUUAAUACGUUCAUCAAUUGACGUUACUCGCAGAAGAAGCACCGGCUAACUCCGUGCCAGCAGCCGCGGUAAUACGGAGGGUGCAAGCGUUAAUCGGAAUUACUGGGCGUAAAGCGCACGCAGGCGGUUUGUUAAGUCAGAUGUGAAAUCCCCGGGCUCAACCUGGGAACUGCAUUUGAAACUGGCAAGCUAGAGUCUCGUAGAGGGGGGUAGAAUUCCAGGUGUAGCGGUGAAAUGCGUAGAGAUCUGGAGGAAUACCGGUGGCGAAGGCGGCCCCCUGGACGAAGACUGACGCUCAGGUGCGAAAGCGUGGGGAGCAAACAGAUUAGAUACCCUGGUAGUCCACGCUGUAAAACGAUGUCGAUUUUGGAGGUUGUGCCCCUUGAGGCGUGGUUCCGGAGCUAACGCGUUAAAUCGACCG
Molecule: ribosomal RNA, 525 nt
Filed under: uncultured bacterium
Lineage: Bacteria
Description: partial 16S ribosomal RNA
Rfam family: Bacterial small subunit ribosomal RNA
Source: RNAcentral